This 384-nucleotide ribosomal RNA is filed under the name uncultured bacterium. RNAcentral describes it as "bacterial SSU rRNA". It matches the Rfam family "Bacterial small subunit ribosomal RNA", at positions 355 to 756 of the family's 1533-position model. The record is from RNAcentral.
UAGGGAAUAUUAGUAAUGGGCGAAAGCCUGAACUAGCAACGCCGCGUGUGCGAAGAAGGCCUUCGGGUUGUAAAGCACUUUUAGAGAGGAUGAGGAAGGACGGUACUCUCAGAAUAAGUCUCGGCUAACUACGUGCCAGCAGCCGCGGUAACACGUAGGAGGCGAACGUUAUCCGGAUUUACUGGGCGUAAAGCGCGUGUAGGUGGUUUGGUAAGUAGGGCGUGAAAGCUCCCGGCUCAACUGGGAGAGGCCGUUCUAAACUGCCAAGCUAGAGGAUGGUAGAGGGAGGUGGAAUUCCGGGUGUAGCGGUGGAAUGCGCAGAUAUCAGGAGGAACACCAGUGGCGAAGGCGACCUCCUGGGCCACUCCUGACACUCAGACGCGA